GGGCCCGCACAAGCGGUGGAGUAUGUGGUUUAAUUCGAUGCAACGCGAAGAACCUUACCAGGGUUUGACAUCCUGCGAAUUUCUGGGAAACCGGAAAGUGCCUUCGGGAGCGCAGUGACAGGUGGUGCAUGGCUGUCGUCAGCUCGUGUCGUGAGGUGUCAGGUUAAGUCCUAUAACGAGCGCAACCCCCUGCCGUUAGUUGCCAGCAUGUAAUGAUGGGAACUCUAACGGGACUGCCGGUGAUAAACCGGAGGAAGGUGUGGAUGACGUCAAGUCAUCAUGCCCCUUACAUCUGGGCUACACACGUACUACAAUGCUACGGACAAAGGGCAGCAAGUUCGCGAGGACAAGCAAAUCCCAUAAACGUGGCUC
RNAcentral lists this ribosomal RNA (372 nucleotides) under uncultured bacterium. RNAcentral describes it as "bacterial SSU rRNA". It matches the Rfam family "Bacterial small subunit ribosomal RNA", at positions 917 to 1289 of the family's 1533-position model. The record is from RNAcentral.